GGCCCCUGACAGUGGGCAAAGCAGCGCCUUAUUGAUGGUGGUGGUCUUAUAUCAGUCAGGGGCAGAGAAAAUGGAAGCCCUUUGUUCAUCCUAGCUUGAUGCCUGCUUGGUGGCCAAAGCUGUUUCAUGCCUAGGGCACAAUC
This is a small nucleolar RNA of Jaculus jaculus (lesser Egyptian jerboa), 143 nucleotides long. NCBI's taxonomy places the organism in Eukaryota, Metazoa, Chordata, Mammalia, Rodentia, Dipodidae. The record is from Ensembl.